This 400-nucleotide ribosomal RNA is filed under the name uncultured bacterium. RNAcentral's name for it is "bacterial SSU rRNA". It matches the Rfam family "Bacterial small subunit ribosomal RNA", at positions 355 to 772 of the family's 1533-position model. The record is from RNAcentral.
UAACGAAUAUUCCGCAAUGCGCGAAAGCGUGACGGAGCGACGCCGCGUGUAGGAUGAAGCGGCUUUGCCGUGUAAACUACUGUCAGGGGCUACUAAUACUGAAGAGCCCCAAAGGAAGGGCCGGCUAAUCCUGUGCCAGCAGCCGCGGUAAUACAGGAGGCCCGAGCGUUAGUCGGAAUCACUGGGCUUAAAGGGUGCGCAGGCGGACCCGUAUGUGUAUUGUGAAAUCCCUCGGCUCAACCGGGGAACUGCAACGCAAACGGCGGGUCUUGAGGAAGGUAGGGGUCGUUGGAACGAUCGGUGGAGCGGUGAAAUGCGUUGAUAUCGAUCGGAACGCCGAAGGUGAAGACAAGCGACUGGGCCUUUUCUGACGCUCAUGCACGAAAGCGUGGGGAUCAAA